RNAcentral lists this ribosomal RNA (254 nucleotides) under uncultured bacterium. Its description in RNAcentral is "partial 16S ribosomal RNA". It matches the Rfam family "Bacterial small subunit ribosomal RNA", at positions 524 to 776 of the family's 1533-position model. The record is from RNAcentral.
CACGUAGGGCGCAAGCGUUGUCCGGAAUUAUUGGGCGUAAAGAGCUCGUAGGCGGUCUGUUGCGUCCGCUGUGAAAACUCGGGGCUUAACCCCGAGCCUGCAGUGGAUACGGGCAGACUAGAGGUAGGUAGGGGAGAAUGGAAUUCCCGGUGUAGCGGUGAAAUGCGCAGAUAUCGGGAGGAACACCGGUGGCGAAGGCGGUUCUCUGGGCCUUAACUGACGCUGGAGGAGCGAAAGCAUGGGGAGCGAACAGG